GGAAGUAAAAGUCGUAACAAGGCGUCAUAACAAGGUUUCCGUAGGUGAACCUGCGGAAGGAUCAUUA
Molecule: ribosomal RNA, 67 nt
Filed under: uncultured Acaulospora
Lineage: Eukaryota; Fungi; Glomeromycota; Glomeromycetes; Diversisporales; Acaulosporaceae
Description: partial 18S ribosomal RNA
Source: RNAcentral